GAAGUCGGAAUUGCUAGUAAUCGCGGAUCAGCAUGCCGCGGUGAAUACGUUCCCGGGCCUUGUACACACCGCCCGUCACACCAUGGGAGCCGGUAAUACCCGAAGUCAGUAGUCCAACCUCGUGAGGACGCUGCCGAAGGUAGGAUUGGCGACUGGAGUGAAGUCGUAACAAGGUACC
This 178-nucleotide ribosomal RNA is filed under the name uncultured bacterium. RNAcentral's name for it is "partial 16S ribosomal RNA". It matches the Rfam family "Bacterial small subunit ribosomal RNA", at positions 1322 to 1500 of the family's 1533-position model. The record is from RNAcentral.